This 1569-nucleotide long non-coding RNA is filed under the name Equus asinus (donkey). RNAcentral describes it as "lncRNA (ENSEASG00005031858.1)". Lineage: Eukaryota; Metazoa; Chordata; Mammalia; Perissodactyla; Equidae. The record is from RNAcentral.
CUCCGUGCCAGGAACUGAGGAAGACGAAAUAUAUUUCUUAUUAUAAAUCACAAUACCCAACAAACUGUUUUUGGUUACUGGUUGCUAAGGUUGCUCCAGUUUAAAUCCUCACCAGCAGUGUCUGAGAAUGUCUGCUUGCCAGAACCUUCAACCAGGAAGUCAAAAGGCAAAUGAAGACGAAGACCAUCCCAGUUAGCAAAAGAAGUGAACCGACAUUUUUAGCAACUCCCUCAGCAGGUGCCUUGGGAUUUUAGUCUGUUCCUGCUGGUUCAAAAAAAGGCAUUUGCUCCAGCUGUCCGUGCCCGGAGCCACUGGAGGGGGCACGACGGAAAGCGUGCUGGGAGCAGGAGUCAGCCCCAGCCCAGAUCCGCGGUCAGCCUGCGGUGUGGCUCUGGACAUCUGGAAGGAAAAAUGAGAGAUCUUUAGUCCAGGCUGGCGUGUGAAGGGAUCGGCUUUGUGAUAGCUGAUCCCCUUGUUACAGGCCCUGCUCUCCCAGGGACUGUCAGUCCUCACCCUCGGACGGGAGCCGCGCUGUCUGCAGGAGGCUGGAAUGAUGCACCUGGGAUGUGUGCGUGUGUGGAUGGAUCUGCCUGGAUCCUGGGUGGCAGAUGUUUGCACUAGCUGCUGGGGGUGGGAUGUGCGGUCUGCAAUCCAGGAAUUUUACAAAGCAGACAUAUCCAGUGAUGCUCGUGUAAAUGGAAGACAAGUCUUGGUCUUACUAAGCUGGGGCUCUAACCAACUCCUGUUAAAGUGAGCCUGUAGCUCCCAGAGGCUUCAUCUCUCGCCCAGCAGACAUGGAGAGAACCAAGAUGACCGUCCUGGAGGACCAUCUUCCAGGCAUGAUGUCAGGCCUGUAGGAGGAGGUGCUACCAGGGUGGCUUUUCCUCCCAUCUUGUGUCGGGAGAAGGUUCAGCACAGGGUCUCCCCCGCUGGCCUUGCAGGGGCAUUCAGAAUGCAGAAACAUCCCAGCCCUGUGUUCUCCUCAGAGACUGAAGGAGAGGAGUGUCGACUGGAAAUCCAGUGUGUUCAGACUGCCUGACACUGUUCCAUUUCAACACACCAGGUUUGGUGAGAUGGGAUGAAGUCUGGGGGUACUCCUUGGCUGAACAAGGUUCCUGAAGGAAAUGUGUUCAUUCAGAAGCAGAUAGACGCUUCCUUUGACAGGCUCUCCCUGCUCCUUCUACUUAGAGACAAUUCUACUCUAAUUUACUCAGCUUUCCCUGCAAGCAAAUGGAAGUCCUUUAUGUUCCUUGCUGCGGGAGAAAAAGAUGAUUGUGUGCGAUCUUAGCUCGAGUUUGUCUUCAUGCAUAUUACAUUCGGGUUUUUACAAUGAGUGUUUGAUUUGCUGUGGAGGAAUAUUUAUUUCCAAAUUCACCAAAUGCUUCUCAAGGCAGCCUCCACACAGAUUUUAAUUGCUAAACCCACUUAUUCUGACUCAGUGUCUGUUUGGUAAAAUGUUUAGAGAUACAAAAAGUGGGGAGACAAACGAGCUGGGCCCAGAUGCUUCUCUAUGACUAACAGAAUGUCCACCCGAAGUUGGGAGAUGAGCAGCCCACUGGCGUGUCAUGG